AUUGAACGCUGGCGGCAUGCCUUACACAUGCAAGUCGAACGGUAACGGGCCUUCGGGUGCCGGCGAGUGGCGAACGGGUGAGUAAUACAUCGGAACGUGCCCGAUCGUGGGGGAUAACGAGGCGAAAGCUUUGCUAAUACCGCAUACGAUCUACGGAUGAAAGCCGGGGACCGCAAGGCCUUGCGCGGACGGAGCGGCCGAUGGCCGAUUAGGUAGUUGGUGGGAUAAAAGCUUACCAAGCCGACGAUCUGUAGCUGGUCUGAGAGGAUGAUCAGCCACACUGGGACUGAGACACGGCCCAGACUCCUACGGGAGGCAGCAGUGGGGAAUUGUGGACAAUGGGCGCAAGCCUGAUCCAGCCAUGCCGCGUGCAGGAUGAAGGCCUUCGGGUUGUAAACUGCUUUUGUACGGAACGAAAAGCCUUCUUUUAAUACAGGAGGGUCAUGACGGUACCGGAAGAAUAAGCACCGGCUAACUACGUG
RNAcentral lists this ribosomal RNA (482 nucleotides) under uncultured bacterium. RNAcentral's name for it is "partial 16S ribosomal RNA". It matches the Rfam family "Bacterial small subunit ribosomal RNA", at positions 30 to 507 of the family's 1533-position model. The record is from RNAcentral.